Molecule: ribosomal RNA, 422 nt
Filed under: uncultured bacterium
Lineage: Bacteria
Description: partial 16S ribosomal RNA
Rfam family: Bacterial small subunit ribosomal RNA
Source: RNAcentral
UGAGGAAUAUUGGUCAAUGGGUGCAAGCCUGAACCAGCCAUCCCGCGUGAAGGACGACUGCCCUAUGGGUUGUAAACUUCUUUUGUAUAGGGAUAAACCUACCCUCGUGAGGGUAGCUGAAGGUACUAUACGAAUAAGCACCGGCUAACUCCGUGCCAGCAGCCGCGGUAAUACGGAGGGUGCAAGCGUUAUCCGGAUUUAUUGGGUUUAAAGGGUCCGUAGGCGGAUUUAUAAGUCAGUGGUGAAAGCCUGUCGCUUAACGAUAGAACUGCCAUUGAUACUGUAAGUCUUGAGUAUAUUUGAGGUAGCUGGAAUAAGUAGUGUAGCGGUGAAAUGCAUAGAUAUUACUUAGAACACCAAUUGCGAAGGCAGGUUACCAAGAUAUAACUGACGCUGAGGGACGAAAGCGUGGGGAGCGAACA